RNAcentral lists this transfer RNA (73 nucleotides) under Felis catus (domestic cat). It matches the Rfam family "tRNA". From Rfam's summary of the family: Transfer RNA (tRNA) molecules are approximately 80 nucleotides in length. Their secondary structure includes four short double-helical elements and three loops (D, anti-codon, and T loops). Lineage: Eukaryota; Metazoa; Chordata; Mammalia; Carnivora; Felidae. RNAcentral also lists the same sequence under 4 other names. The record is from Rfam by way of RNAcentral.
AUCUGGUCAGCUCAGUGGGAAGAGCAUGUGACUCUUGAUCUUGGGGUCAUGGGUUUAAGCCCCACAUUGGAUG